This 107-nucleotide small nucleolar RNA is filed under the name Gossypium arboreum. RNAcentral describes it as "Plant small nucleolar RNA R71". It matches the Rfam family "Plant small nucleolar RNA R71". From Rfam's summary of the family: R71 is a member of the C/D box family of snoRNAs containing the C (UGAUGA) and D (CUGA) box motifs. Multiple nearly identical copies of this snoRNA have been identified in Arabidopsis, and it is thought to function as a 2'-O-ribose methylation guide for 18S ribosomal RNA. The record is from Rfam by way of RNAcentral. Lineage: Eukaryota; Viridiplantae; Streptophyta; Magnoliopsida; Malvales; Malvaceae.
AACCCAAGGUGAGGGCAUCUUCGCAAAAGAUUCUUAUAUCUCUCCCAUGCAUCGUAAAGUGUUUCUAAAUCCAUCUGCACAAAAGAAGAAAUAUCAAUACGUAAUUU